GAUGAACGCUAGCGGCAGGCUUAACACAUGCAAGUCGAGGGGCAGCACAGGUAGCAAUACUGGGUGGCGACCGGCAAACGGGUGCGGAACACGUACACAAUCUACCUUUAUCUGGGGCAUAGCCCGGAGAAAUCCGGAUUAACUCCCCAUAAUAUAUACGAGUGGCAUCACUUGAAUAUUAAAUCUCCGGAGGAUAGAGAUGAGUGUGCGUCCCAUUAGCUAGUUGGUAGGUAACGGCCUACCAAGGCGACGAUGGGUAGCUGGUGUGAGAGCACGACCAGCCACACGGGCACUGAGACACGGGCCCGACUCCUACGGGAGGCAGCAGUGAGGAAUAUUGGUCAAUGGACGCAAGUCUGAACCAGCCAUGCCG
This 373-nucleotide ribosomal RNA is filed under the name uncultured bacterium. Its description in RNAcentral is "bacterial SSU rRNA". It matches the Rfam family "Bacterial small subunit ribosomal RNA", at positions 28 to 399 of the family's 1533-position model. The record is from RNAcentral.